UUCCCUGACCAGGGAUUGAACCUGGGCCACGGCAGUGAAAAUGCCAAGUCCUAACCACUGGACCACCAGGGA
This 72-nucleotide transfer RNA is filed under the name Eschrichtius robustus (grey whale). RNAcentral describes it as "tRNA-Glu". Lineage: Eukaryota; Metazoa; Chordata; Mammalia; Artiodactyla; Eschrichtiidae. The record is from RNAcentral.